GCGCCCGUAGCUCAGUUGGAUAGAGCAGCGCCCUUCUAAGGCGAAGGUCGGAGGUUCGAAUCCUCCCGGGCGUACCA
This 77-nucleotide transfer RNA is filed under the name Candidatus Peregrinibacteria bacterium. RNAcentral's name for it is "tRNA-Arg". It matches the Rfam family "tRNA". Rfam says of the family: Transfer RNA (tRNA) molecules are approximately 80 nucleotides in length. Their secondary structure includes four short double-helical elements and three loops (D, anti-codon, and T loops). The record is from RNAcentral. RNAcentral also lists the same sequence under 1 other name. Lineage: Bacteria; Candidatus Peregrinibacteriota.